AACGAAAUUCCCAACCGCCUGCGAAAAAUAAACACACCACCUAUUAGGAUCUUCUCCAAAAAGUAACUGACCUGGAACCAAUACAGGAAAUCCUGGCCAUCUGAUUACCUCUGCGGCGAGAGAUGGGCUUGUGGAGGACAUAUCCUGUGUGUUGAGAGAGGGACAAGAAAGUUAAGAUCAUCCGGGACCCAAGCUCUGCCAAAAUGGAUGACUACUACUACUACUACUACUACUCUUUUUUGUAUCCCUGUCUGUCCCAUAGGUCAGUAAGAAAUGGGAUUCUUCUUUUGCUGUCUGUUCUGCUCUGUUGCCCUGCACCAUUGAACUGACAUUACUGGGAACAGGUUGAUGCACAAAGGAGAAGCAAAGAUCUGCCGGAAAAAUAAAUACAGAAUAUUACAAUUCCCUGU
This is a long non-coding RNA of Hyla sarda, 410 nucleotides long. RefSeq lists it as uncharacterized. The record is from RefSeq and is a predicted model, not a curated record. Lineage: Eukaryota; Metazoa; Chordata; Amphibia; Anura; Hylidae. The transcript has 3 exons.